CAGGGAUUGCCCUAGUAACGGCGAGUGAAGCGGCAACAGCUCAAAUUUGAAAUCUGGCUUUCGGGCCCGAGUUGUAAUUUGUAGAGGAUGAUUUUGAUGCGGUGCCUUCCGAGUUCCCUGGAACGGGACGCCAUAGAGGGUGAGAGCCCCGUCUGGUUGGAUGCCAAAUCUCUGUAAAUCUCCUUCGACGAGUCGAGUAGUUUGGGAAUGCUGCUCUAAAUGGGAGGUAUAUGUCUUCUAAAGCUAAAUACCGGCCAGAGACCGAUAGCGCACAAGUAGAGUGAUCGAAAGAUGAAAAGCACUUUGAAAAGAGAGUUAAAAAGUACGUGAAAUUGUUGAAAGGGAAGCGUUUAUGACCAGACUUGGGCUUGGUUAAUCAUCUGGGGUUCUCUCCAGUGCACUUUUCCAGCCCAGGCCAGCAUCAGUUUUCGCCGGGGGAUAAAGACUUCGGGAAUGUGGCUCCCCUCGGGGAGUGUUAUAGCCCGUUGUGUAAUACCCUGGUGGGGACUGAGGUUCGCGCUUCUGCAAGGAUGCUGGCGUAAUGGUCAUCAACGACCCGUCUUGAAACACGGACCAAGGAGUCGUCUUCGUAUGCGAGUGUUCGGGUGUCAAACCCCUACGCGUAAUGAAAGUGAACGCAGGUGAGAGCUUCGGCGCAUCAUCGACCGAUCCUGAUGUUCUCGGAUGGAUUUGAGUAAGAGCAUACGGGGCCGGACCCGAAAGAAGGUGAACUAUGCCUGUGUAGGGUGAAGCCAGAGGAAACUCUGGUGGAGGCUCGCAGCGGUUCUGACGUGCAAAUCGAUCGUCAAACAUGGGCAUGGGGGCGAAAGACUAAU
This 836-nucleotide ribosomal RNA is filed under the name Fusarium culmorum. Its description in RNAcentral is "partial large subunit ribosomal RNA". It matches the Rfam family "Eukaryotic large subunit ribosomal RNA", at positions 69 to 935 of the family's 3401-position model. Lineage: Eukaryota; Fungi; Ascomycota; Sordariomycetes; Hypocreales; Nectriaceae. The record is from RNAcentral.